CAGAGUUCAUGCCCUUACGGGUAGAUCUCCCACCCUGUGUUAUUAUUACCUUUGUUGCUUUGGCGGGCCGUCUAGCUUCGGCCAGACUACCGGCUCCGGCUGGUCAGCGGCCGCCAGAGGACUCAAACUCUAAAUUUAUUGUUCUCUGAGAAUCAUAAAAUAGUUA
This 166-nucleotide unclassified non-coding RNA is filed under the name uncultured Leptodontidium. Its description in RNAcentral is "sequence contains ITS1". The record is from RNAcentral. Lineage: Eukaryota; Fungi; Ascomycota.